CAGUAGCCGCGGUAAUACGAAGGGUGUAAGCGUUAAUCGGAAUUACUGGGCGUAAAGCGUGCGUAGGCGGUUUGUUAAGUCUGCUGUGAAAUCCCCGGGCUCAACCUGGGAAUGGCAGUGGAUACUGGCAAGCUAGAGUGUGUCAGAGGAUGGUGGAAUUCCCGGUGUAGCGGUGAAAUGCGUAGAGAUCGGGAGGAACAUCAGUGGCGAAGGCGGCCAUCUGGGACAACACUGACGCUGAGGCACGAAAGCGUGGGGAGCAAACAGGAUUAGAUACCCGUGUAGUCCCUGUCUCUUAUAC
RNAcentral lists this ribosomal RNA (301 nucleotides) under uncultured bacterium. RNAcentral describes it as "partial 16S ribosomal RNA". It matches the Rfam family "Bacterial small subunit ribosomal RNA", at positions 509 to 807 of the family's 1533-position model. The record is from RNAcentral.